Molecule: ribosomal RNA, 492 nt
Filed under: uncultured bacterium
Lineage: Bacteria
Description: partial 16S ribosomal RNA
Rfam family: Bacterial small subunit ribosomal RNA
Source: RNAcentral
AGUGAACGCUGGCGGUAGGCCUAACACAUGCAAGUCGAACGGCAGCACAGUAAGAGCUUGCUCUUACGGGUGGCGAGUGGCGGACGGGUGAGGAAUACAUCGGAAUCUACUUUUUCGUGGGGGAUAACGUAGGGAAACUUACGCUAAUACCGCAUACGACCUACGGGUGAAAGCAGGGGAUCUUCGGACCUUGCGCGAUUGAAUGAGCCGAUGUCGGAUUAGCUAGUUGGCGGGGUAAGGGCCCACCAAGGCGACGAUCCGUAGCUGGUCUGAGAGGAUGAUCAGCCACACUGGAACGGAGACACGGUCCAGACUCCUACGGGAGGCAGCAGUGGGGAAUGUUGGACAAUGGGCGCAAGCCUGAUCCAGCCAUACCGCGUGGGUGAAGAAGGCCUUCGGGUUGUAAAGCCCUUUUGUUGGGAAAGAAAAGCAGCAGGUUAAUACCCCGCUGUUCUGACGGUACCCAAAGAAUAAGCACCGGCUAACUUCGUG